This 875-nucleotide long non-coding RNA is filed under the name Salvator merianae (Argentine black and white tegu). Its description in RNAcentral is "lncRNA (ENSSMRG00000008827.1)". The record is from RNAcentral. Lineage: Eukaryota; Metazoa; Chordata; Lepidosauria; Squamata; Teiidae.
AUGGGGGCUGGGGGGAGGGGAAGGGAAAGGGAUCCCUGCUGGAAACCCCUGACGCUCACACACCGGUACGUUCUCUCGGCGGGCGGGCAGGUAAUCGCGGGCGAACGACCUGCUGCGCCCCAGCGUGGGCAAAAGCGCGGGACUGGAGCUUUUGCAGGGCGGAGCGCGCGCACUUGUCCUUGUCUGUCUUCCUUCCUUCCUUCCUUCCUUCCUUCCUUCCUUCCUUCCCCGGGGCUGGGCAGGCGGCGCUGCGAAGCAGCUCUUGCUGGGGGGGGGGCACCUUCGCCAACGCUGCUGCAGUCGGCGGCCUCGCUCGGCCGCGGCGAGCGCCAGGGGCGCCAAGAAGAACCAAAGGCCGAGAAGGAGAAGAGCCGCCGCCGCCGGGGUUCCGCCGGGCGAGAGCGGCCACGAGGCGCCCCUUUGGCUCCGCGUCCAAACAGCCGCGCUGUGCCGCCGGCGCGGCGGAGUCGCUCUCCGCUCGCCCGCUCGCUGCGAACGGCGGCGUCUCCGCCCCUUUCGACACCCGACCCGCCUCCCUCCUGCUGGCGACCGUGUGAAGCGAGCGGGGCAGCCGCGGCGGGCAGCGAGGCGAGAGGAGGCGGACGAUCCAGACGACGGGGCGGCGGGAGGCAGAGAGCGACGGCGCUUCGAGCGGAAGGGACGCGAAGAGGCGAGCGGGCGGCAUGAAUACUCCUCUUGUAUGCCGCUUGGAGCGUCUUUUUGGUUAGACAUCAGUUAAGGAUGGGAUUUGACUGGUUGUCUUCAUGGGACCAGCCUGUUGCCACAUAACCAUGCCAUCUGGUGGGGCAAUUUCAGCACCGCAGCAAGUCCCUGGCAACUCCAAGAAAGAAUAGUAAGUCUUCUGCGUAGCAACU